ACAAUUUCAUUUAUUUUGCUAAUACAGUCACUCGGGCAAACACCUACUGAGCAUGAAUUUGAUAACGUAGAAAUAGCUUAUACUUGUGAUACCUUAGCCCAAAUUUCCUUCCAUGUAGUUUCAUUCAUACACAACCAUAAACCAUUCACUGAUCGUUCCUAAUCUCUUUCGUUUCUCCACAAUCAUCAAUGGAAUUAACAUAAAUCACUUGUAUAUAUAGCAGUGACAAUUUCUUCUCUUAUUCUAAUUCGAAUCAUGACACCUUCAGACACCACCACAAAUCCCUGGAAGACAACAUUCAUUUCUUACACAGCCCAUGGUUCACGGCAAUACAACUUGUACCUCCAGAUUCAUUUAUUCUCUUCAAAUCCGAGUUCCAGAUGAAACCCUUCUUUCCAAAACCUUAAUAGAUUUCAAACAGUCAUCAACUCUACCAUUCAACAUCACCAUUUCCUCCAUCAAAUUGACGGCAAAAGAGACACCUUCUUGUCUUGAUUUCAAAAUCAAACCCCUGGUAGCAACAGCUCCAUCUUCACCAACAGAAAAAAAUCUUCUUCUUUCUCUGAUCGGAUCAGAUUGUAUUUGGGGAAAUUAACCAUUUACACCUAAGAUAUCUACUCAGUAAAGGCUAUAUAUAUAGACAUCUGCAACUCAAGCUACAAUUAACUGAAGAUGAAUGAUACAUGCCUGAAAGUCCAGUAUUAAAGGAUAAAGUUUCUGGUUGUGAUCAAAGAUUUGGGAUGGGAUACGAUAUGUUCAUGUAGUUGUGUUUGUAUUGGUGAAAUAAUAUUUGAAUUGAUUUAAUCUUAUAAAUCUGAUUGACUUUGGAAA
Papaver somniferum (opium poppy) is the source of this 831-nucleotide long non-coding RNA. RefSeq lists it as uncharacterized. The transcript is spliced from 2 exons. NCBI's taxonomy places the organism in Eukaryota, Viridiplantae, Streptophyta, Magnoliopsida, Ranunculales, Papaveraceae. The record is from RefSeq and is a predicted model, not a curated record.